This 497-nucleotide ribosomal RNA is filed under the name uncultured bacterium. Its description in RNAcentral is "partial 16S ribosomal RNA". It matches the Rfam family "Bacterial small subunit ribosomal RNA", at positions 28 to 507 of the family's 1533-position model. The record is from RNAcentral.
GAUGAACGCUGGCGGCGUGCCUAAUACAUGCAAGUCGAGCGAACAGACGAGGAGCUUGCUCCUUUGACGUUAGCGGCGGACGGGUGAGUAACACGUGGGUAACCUACCUAUAAGACUGGGAUAACUUCGGGAAACCGGAGCUAAUACCGGAUAAUAUUUCGAACCGCAUGGCUCGAUAGUGAAAGAUGGCUCUGCUAUCACUUAUAGAUGGACCUGCGCCGUAUUAGCUAGUUGGUAAGGUAACGGCUUACCAAGGCAACGAUACGUAGCCGACCUGAGAGGGUGAUCGGCCACACUGGAACUGAGACACGGUCCAGACUCCUACGGGAGGCAGCAGUAGGGAAUCUUCCGCAAUGGGCGAAAGCCUGACGGAGCAACGCCGCGUGAGUGAUGAAGGUCUUCGGAUCGUAAAACUCUGUUAUUAGGGAAGAACAAACGUGUAAGUAACUGUGCACGUCUUGACGGUACCUAAUCAGAAAGCCACGGCUAACUACGUG